UGCGUGAAUUAAUGUGAAUUGCAGAACACAUUGAACAUCGAUAUCUUGAACGCACAUGGCGGCCUCGGGUCCAUCCCGGGGCCACGUCCGUCUGAGGGUCGGCGACUAAAUCAAUCGAAGCUCGUCUUGUUUUCCACGACACUCGUCGGGCUGGAAAGCGGGCUCGCGCUGAACCGUCGAGGUUUCCACGCUCCACUCGGGCGGGGAUCCCCGUGGUUUCAAGUCCAAGCUGCGCCGUCGUCCUAUGUCCUCGAUGCUGCUUGUGCGGUUUCACCGCCUGGCAGGACUCGGCUCGUGUAAAAAGCGAGUUUCGGGCCUGUGUGGCACUGCUCUCGGGUGAAGCGGCAAGCGACGUCGUCAGCGACCGUGGUUCGGUGCCACUUUUUAGAAAAUCAAUUCAUAUCUCCGACCUCAGAUCGGGCGAGAUUACCCGCUGAAUUUAAGCAUAUAACUAAGCGGAGGAAAAGAAACUAACAAGGAUUCCCACAGUAACGGC
This 496-nucleotide ribosomal RNA is filed under the name Physella zionis. Its description in RNAcentral is "eukaryotic LSU rRNA". The stretch from base 407 to 496 matches the Rfam family "Eukaryotic large subunit ribosomal RNA", at positions 1 to 90 of the family's 3401-position model. Lineage: Eukaryota; Metazoa; Mollusca; Gastropoda; Physidae. The record is from RNAcentral.